RNAcentral lists this ribosomal RNA (248 nucleotides) under uncultured Lachnospiraceae bacterium. RNAcentral's name for it is "partial 16S ribosomal RNA". It matches the Rfam family "Bacterial small subunit ribosomal RNA", at positions 524 to 771 of the family's 1533-position model. The record is from RNAcentral. Lineage: Bacteria; Bacillati; Bacillota; Clostridia; Lachnospirales; Lachnospiraceae.
UACGUAUGGUGCAAGCGUUAUCCGGAUUUACUGGGUGUAAAGGGAGCGUAGACGGCUGUGCAAGUCUGAAGUGAAAGGCCGGGGCCCAACCCCGGGAGUGCUUUGGAAACUGUGCGGCUAGAGUGUCGGAGAGGCAAGUGGAAUUCCCAGUGUAGCGGUGAAAUGCGUAGAUAUUGGGAGGAACACCAGUGGCGAAGGCGUCUUGCUGGACGAUGACUGACGUUGAGGCUCGAAAGCGUGGGGAGCAA